RNAcentral lists this unclassified non-coding RNA (397 nucleotides) under uncultured Glomeraceae. RNAcentral's name for it is "sequence contains ITS2". The stretch from base 1 to 154 matches the Rfam family "5.8S ribosomal RNA". The record is from RNAcentral. Lineage: Eukaryota; Fungi; Glomeromycota; Glomeromycetes; Glomerales; Glomeraceae.
AACUUUCAACAAUGGAUCUCUUGGCUCUCGCAUCGAUGAAGAACGUAGCGAAGUGCGAUAAGUAAUGUGAAUUGCAGUAUUCCGUGAAUCAUCGAAUCUUUGAACGCAUAUUGCACUCUCUGGUAUUCCGGGGAGUAUGCCUGUUUGAGGGUCAGUUUAAAUAAAAAUCGGUGUUGUUGCUGCCUUUCGUGGUAACGCGUCGGAAUUGAGUCGUCUUAACCUAAGUGACUUAAAAUUUUAUGUGAUUUUUAAACGUAUUUAAACUAUUUACUUACGUUUGAAUCAAUUUGAUUAGGUUCGGUCAUCCUUAUGACCUCGCGCCUAUAAUUUUUCAUUAAAUGACCUCAAAUCAGGUAAGAAUACCCGCUGAACUUAAGCAUAUCAAUAAGCGGAGGAU